GAUGAACGCUGGCGGCGUGCCUAAUACAUGCAAGUCGAGCGAACAGACGAGGAGCUUGCUCCUCUGACGUUAGCGGCGGACGGGUGAGUAACACGUGGAUAACCUACCUAUAAGACUGGGAUAACUUCGGGAAACCGGAGCUAAUACCGGAUAAUAUAUUGAACCGCAUGGUUCAAUAGUGAAAGACGGUUUUGCUGUCACUUAUAGAUGGAUCCGCGCCGCAUUAGCUAGUUGGUAAGGUAACGGCUUACCAAGGCAACGAUGCGUAGCCGACCUGAGAGGGGGAUCGGCCACACUGGAACUGAACCACGGUCCAGACUCCUACGGGAGGCAGCAGUAGGGAAUCUUCCGCAAUGGGCGAAAGCCUGACGGAGCAACGCCGCGUGAGUGGUGAAGGUCUUCGGAUCGUAAAACUCUGUUAUUAGGGAAGAACAAAUGUGUAAGUAACUAUGCACGUCUUGACGGUACCUAAUCAGAAAGCCACGGCUAACUACGUG
This 497-nucleotide ribosomal RNA is filed under the name uncultured bacterium. RNAcentral describes it as "partial 16S ribosomal RNA". It matches the Rfam family "Bacterial small subunit ribosomal RNA", at positions 28 to 507 of the family's 1533-position model. The record is from RNAcentral.